RNAcentral lists this ribosomal RNA (891 nucleotides) under uncultured bacterium. RNAcentral describes it as "bacterial SSU rRNA". It matches the Rfam family "Bacterial small subunit ribosomal RNA", at positions 493 to 1396 of the family's 1533-position model. The record is from RNAcentral.
CCGGCUAACUACGUGCCAGCAGCCGCGGUAAUACGUAGGGUGCGAGCGUUGCCGGAAUUACUGGGCGUAAAGAGCUCGUAGGUGGUUUGUCGCGUCGUCUGUGAAAUUCCGGGCUUAACCUCGGGCGUGCAGGCGAUACGGGCAAUACUUGAGUGCUGUAGGGGAGACUGGAUUCCUGGUGUAGCGGUGGAAUGCGCAGAUAUCAGGAGGAACACCGAUGGCGAAGGCAGGCUCUGGGCAGUAACUGACGCUGAGGAGCGAAAGCAUGGGUAGCGAACAGGAUUAGAUACCUGGUAGUCCAUGCCGUAAACGGUGGGCGCUAGGUGUAGGGGUCUUCCACGACUUCUGUGCGUAGCUAACGCAUUAAGCGCCCCGCCUGGGGAGUACGGCCGCAAGGCUAAAACUCAAAGGAUUGACGGGGGCCCGCACAAGCGGCGGAGCAUGUGGAUUAAUUCGAUGCAACGCGAAGAACUUACCUGGGCUUGACAUACACCGGACCGGGCCAGAGAUGGUCUUUCCCUUGUGGCUGGUUACAGGUGGUGCAUGGUUGUCGUCAGCUCGUGUCGUGAGAUGUUGGGUUAAGUCCCGCAAGAGCGCAACCCUUGUCUUAUGUUGCCAGCACGUAGUGGUGGGGACUCAUGAGAGACUGCCGGGUCAACUCGGAGGAAGGUGGGGAUGACGUCAAAUCACCAUGCCCCUUAUGUCCAGGGCUCACACAUGCUACAAUGGUCGGUACAACGCGUUGCGACACUGUGAGGUGGAGCUAAUCGCGAAAGCCGGCCUCAGUUCGGAUUGGGGUCUGCAACUCGACCCCAUGAAGUCGGAGUCGCUGUAAUCGCAGAUCAGCAACGCUGCGGUGAAUACGUUCCCGGGCCUUGUACACACCGCCCU